UAUCCAACACAGGCUGAAGUACAGUCCGCCAUAAGUACUAGCAGUGCCCUUGAAAAAUGUCCAGAUUGCAGCUAGUGCACAAAGGACCUCGCCAUGUAAAUAAGUGCAUGAGAAUUUCUCUCUCGCUCUUGACCCGGCAGCAAGAGAAGAGAUUAACUUCCCAUCAACAUCGGAAGACAAAGCGUCAGUACGAAACAAGCGAAGUUUGAGAGAAGAAAAGGAGGAAGGCUGAGACUGAAUGUCAGCUGGUUAGAAAGAAAAAAAAAAAGGGGGGGGGGGGGAAACGGUUCGAGUAAGUAAUUCUGAAUGCUCUACUUCGUAUUCCUCUCCCCACAAAAUAAAUACCCGGCAGAGCUGAGGAGCAGUGCUACCCGAAAUAAGCAAGAGCAGUCAGAUCUUAACUGCCAUAGACUAAAUAAACGCUACUCCAUAUUAAUAUUAUUAAAUAAGGAGGAAUAUACUUACCAUAUCAGCUGGAACGCUGCUGGACAUCUUGAUGUUACCCUAAAUGGCUUUAAAUCAACUUAAAAAAAAAAAUUAAAAA
Phalacrocorax carbo (great cormorant) is the source of this 544-nucleotide non-coding RNA. The record is from RefSeq and is a predicted model, not a curated record. NCBI's taxonomy places the organism in Eukaryota, Metazoa, Chordata, Aves, Suliformes, Phalacrocoracidae.